This is a long non-coding RNA of Xiphophorus hellerii (green swordtail), 1541 nucleotides long. RefSeq lists it as uncharacterized. NCBI's taxonomy places the organism in Eukaryota, Metazoa, Chordata, Actinopteri, Cyprinodontiformes, Poeciliidae. The transcript has 3 exons. The record is from RefSeq and is a predicted model, not a curated record.
GAGAAAAAGUAUUCUGUUCUUUUAAUUAAAUGUAAAUGUUUCCAGAUUUAGGCUUUUAAUCAAGAGUUUGAAUGCAGUUUAUUAUAAAACUGAGCAUUUUGAAUAUGCAGAAAUCAAACACUUUUCAAACCUUGAGAACACCUGAUUGAAAUUCAAGCAUUUUCAAGGAUUUUAAGCAUCUGAAUUGUACCAAUCUUGUAAAAUAGGUCCUUUAAUGUUUAAAAUCACAGUGAAAGACUCAAACACAGCUGGUUAAGUCAUGCAAUUUUCAGAAAUAGAAGAUUAGAAAAUACUUUCUCAGUAUGUUUCAUACGUACUCCGACUUGUGCGUAUAAAAAACGUUAUGUCUGCGACUAACAAGAGAUUUCUCUUAAAAUAAAGAGGCAGCAGCCCAGCGGUAAGUGCAUGAACAGAAAACCACAGGCCAGACCAGGACUGUGUGAGUAAUUCACUGGCAGCUCACUUGCUUCAAAUCAAAAGAAACAAUUUCACCUUGAAGUCUUGAGGACAUGAUUUACCUCAGCAGCUAGCAGCUUUUCAUCAAACUCUCAAGUGAAAACGCCUGAAUUAGUGGUUGGAUAAAUCAUGUUCAAGCAGCAGCUGAACAUUAGUCUGUGAUGCUGUGCAGGAAGAACAUCACAUCAUUUCACAGUAAUCAGUUACAGAAUUGCGCACAUAAAUUCAUUUAUGAACUUUAAUUGAUGAAAUAGGACCAGAAAAUGCAUGGAUGGAUAAUCUGAAAAGUGUGGCCUUUAAGUUAUUUCUCUGACUAUUCUUCUUCUUGCCUGGCUUGUCAGUCAGUACUACUGGUGGUCUGUAAGGCACUGCAUGUAAAAAGCCAUUUAUUUGCCGUGACGUUAGCUCAAAGUGCUACGCUGCAGCUAGCUUACCAAAGGACUGUGUUUAAAAAUAAUAAUGUAUAAAUGGCUUAAAACCAGAUCACAAAAAUGAAAGCCUGAAGAUACAGGAGGAAAGUUUCUCAGGGUGAGUUGAAGAACUUUUAUUUUUGAACAUUAUUACAAUAUGUAGCAGAUUUCUGUGCUGAGUACCAUCUAAAGAGGGGGUGAGCAGCGCUGCGCCCCAUCCUGACUAACUGCAUCUAAACACCUAAAAUAAAAUUCACAUUUUCCACAUUUUUAUACUUCCAUUUGGGUUUUUACUGCUUCAAAAAAUAGCCUAAGCACUUUAAAACAAAACAAAACACCCAGAUGUUUCUUGGCAGCAAAUUAAUGACUUUUGGUGUCUAGAAAACGAGCCAUUUCAAAAACCUCCCGAAUUUACUGUCACAAAUCAGCAGGCACUGACCUUUCACCUACUAACCCCAGAGAAGCCAGCCUGUUACCUAGCAACCCCAGCUGAACUCCGUCCUUAUCUAGCAACCCAAACAGAACUCCAGCUAAAAUCACAUGAUCUAAGAAUUAUAUUAUAUUAUAUAUAUAUUAUAUUAUUACAUAAUUAUAUUAUGAACAAAAUGUAUUGAGCAUGUUUUGUACAGUCCACAGAUCUAUCCUAACCUGUUCAAGAAAGAAUAAUAAGUCAUC